UGCCGGCGACCGGCGCACGGGUGCGUAACGCGUAUACAAUCUGCCUUGUGCUGGGGGAUAGCCUUUAGAAAUGAAGAUUAACACCCCAUAGUAUGUAAAGUUCGCAUGGAUUUUACAUUAAAGGUUACGGUACAAGAUGAGUAUGCGUCCUAUUAGCUAGAUGGAGUGGUAACGGCACCCCAUGGCAACGAUAGGUAGGGGCCCUGAGAGGGGGAUCCCCCACACUGGUACUGAGACACGGACCAGACUCCUACGGGAGGCAGCAGUGAGGAAUAUUGGACAAUGGAGGCAACUCUGAUCCAGCCAUGCCGCGUGCAGGAAGACUGCCCUAUGGGUUGUAAACUGCUUUU
Molecule: ribosomal RNA, 350 nt
Filed under: uncultured Algibacter sp.
Lineage: Bacteria; Pseudomonadati; Bacteroidota; Flavobacteriia; Flavobacteriales; Flavobacteriaceae
Description: bacterial SSU rRNA
Rfam family: Bacterial small subunit ribosomal RNA
Source: RNAcentral